GGUUCCGUUCUGUUCCGCCUUGGCGCCCUUGGCCGCGGGGGCAAUGUUUUUGUUUUCGUUCUACGUUCAGGUGUUGGGUGGCGACGUUUUAACCGUCGAUAACCAGCUGAAGCAGCUCAAGUUCUCGAGUGGAACGAGGUUGACCGUGCGCAGUGGCAGCCGUUGACAACAAAAACAAUGUAUGCACUAAGUUUCGCCGGAUAAGUGCCGGCGUCGAUCGCGAACCGCCAGAGCCGCCAAAUACCUCUCGUACAUCUCCAAGAACACCAAGAACAGGAGGUAUUCGUAAAGGUCUGAACCACGCGAGGAUCGUCUCGAAGCAUGGUAGCCUCAACAGACGCUUGCCGCCACACGCGAGGAGAAAGCAGGAGGCCCGAAGUUUGAAUGUGAAGAGGAGGUGCGAAGAGCUGGCCCUCACUUUUUCAAGGCAGCCGCAGAACACUACGAGCCCCGAAUCACUGCCGCGGCUGACUCACGCGGAUGCUGUGCUGCACCCUGCACUGCACAUGGUUCGAAGCACACUUCAGGGGACCAGUGCAUGCCCCUGAUGCAUCGUCGCGGUAUGUUUUGUACUGCUUUUCCUAGCGGUGCACUGAGCAGUCCAAUCUUGAAGGGAGCACGCGAGUGCGUAGCCAGUGCUCCAUGCAGCGAGGACCGCAAGCACCCGCGGAAGCUUGGAGCACACGCAGUGACGCCAGCAGCCGUGCAUGCUGGCAUCGUCUGCUACUGUACCGUCCUUUCGUUCGGUGCGCAGAAAAAAAAAGGAGUGACCGCUCUGUUAAAAGUCUGAUGGUGAAGGCAUCCUUUACAGAAGCACUGUAUGGCUCUCUGCACGCUAGAAUGGGGGCUGUCGUUGAUGCUCGCAGAGGCGUCGCCCACAACUAAGCAGACGACCAAAGUCCUGAGCAGGUCCCGGGGAUCAUGGCAUCGAUGAGCUCGCUUUCGCCUUGUCCAAGGUAGCAGCGGAACACUACGGGCAGGCCCGGAGUCACCGCACCGGCUGGCUCACGGGCGUCGUCCUGUACUCUGCACGGCACUGCGUGUGGCUUAAUCGGCCAAGCAGAGGGUCACUGCAUGACCUUUAUGAGGCGUCGCUAGCCAUUGUUUCAAAUCGUCCUGAUUCAUGGGCCAAGCCUUUCAAGACUGCACUCUUAGGCCCAGUCCUUUUUGGUGGAUCGGAUCUUGCCAUCUUCCCCUCUCGUGGCUUCCUGUUGUACUUAAAUAAAUUGUCAUAUUUUUUUCUUAUGGUGGUGCAUACGUUUUGCCACACUUCACAAAAACAGUGUGGUGAAUCCAUGCCGCAGAUUACUGUGAAACGUGCAGGAAGGGUAAACUCCGAAAAGGUUUAUGGAAAGAAGAUAGACAUCCCCCAUUAAUUUUUUCUGGACACUCUAAGCGUGCUAUCUACGCAGUAUUUCUGCC
Ixodes scapularis (black-legged tick) is the source of this 1422-nucleotide long non-coding RNA. RefSeq lists it as uncharacterized. The transcript is spliced from 5 exons. The record is from RefSeq and is a predicted model, not a curated record. NCBI's taxonomy places the organism in Eukaryota, Metazoa, Arthropoda, Arachnida, Ixodida, Ixodidae.